UACGUAGGGUGCGAGCGUUGUCCGGAAUUAUUGGGCGUAAAGAGCUCGUAGGCGGUCUGUUGCGUCGGCUGUGAAAACCCGGGGCUCAACCCCGGGCCUGCAGCCGAUACGGGCAGACUAGAGUUCGGCAGGGGAGACUGGAAUUCCUGGUGUAGCGGUGAAAUGCGCAGAUAUCAGGAGGAACACCGGCGGCGAAGGCAGGUCUCUGGGCUGACACUGACGCUCAUGCACGAAAGCGUGGGGAGCAAACAGG
RNAcentral lists this ribosomal RNA (253 nucleotides) under uncultured bacterium. RNAcentral's name for it is "partial 16S ribosomal RNA". It matches the Rfam family "Bacterial small subunit ribosomal RNA", at positions 524 to 776 of the family's 1533-position model. The record is from RNAcentral.